GAUGAACGCUGGCGGCGUGCCUAAUACAUGCAAGUCGAGCGAACAGACGAGGAGCUUGCUCCUCUGACGUUAGCGGCGGACGGGUGAGUAACACGUGGAUAACCUACCUAUAAGACUGGGAUAACUUCGGGAAACCGGAGCUAAUACCGGAUAAUAUAUUGAACCGCAUGGUUCAAUAGUGAAAGACGGUUUUGCUGUCACUUAUAGAUGGAUCCGCGCCGCAUUAGCUAGUUGGUAAGGUAACGGCUCACCAAGGCAACGAUGCGUAGCCGACCUGAGAGGGUGAUCGGCCACACUGGAACUGAGACACGGUCCAGACUCCUACGGGAGGCAGCAGUAGGGAAUCUUCCGCAAUGGGCGAAAGCUUGACGGAGCAACGCCGCGUGAGUGAUGAAGGUCUUCGGAUCGUAAAACUCUGUUAUUAGGGAAGAACAAAUGUGUAAGUAACUAUGAACGUCUUGACGGUACCUAAUCAGAAAGCCACGGCUAACUACGUG
This 497-nucleotide ribosomal RNA is filed under the name uncultured bacterium. Its description in RNAcentral is "partial 16S ribosomal RNA". It matches the Rfam family "Bacterial small subunit ribosomal RNA", at positions 28 to 507 of the family's 1533-position model. The record is from RNAcentral.